Molecule: non-coding RNA, 24 nt
Filed under: Arabidopsis thaliana (thale cress)
Lineage: Eukaryota; Viridiplantae; Streptophyta; Magnoliopsida; Brassicales; Brassicaceae
Source: RNAcentral
AGGCUUUUAGGAUAAGGUUGCGGU